AAACAACUACGAGUCACACUUAAAACUUAAAAGACUUGACGGUACUUCACUACACCCUAGAGGAGCCUGUCCAAUAACCGACAACCCACGAUUAACCCAACCCCCCCUUGCCUACAGUCUAUAUACCGCCGUCGCAAGCCUACCUCAUAAGAGGAGUAAAGUAGGCCAAACAGUGCUCACUAAAACGACAGGUCGAGGUGUAACUCAUGAGAGGGACCAAGAUGGGCUACACUCUCACAUCGAGAAUACGGAAAAAACCCCGAAAUUAGUCUUUAAAGGUGGAUUUAGCAGUAAGAUAGGAAUAAAACACCUAACUGAACAUAANGCGAUGAAGUGCGU
RNAcentral lists this ribosomal RNA (339 nucleotides) under Bothrops pauloensis. RNAcentral describes it as "partial small subunit ribosomal RNA". The record is from RNAcentral. Lineage: Eukaryota; Metazoa; Chordata; Lepidosauria; Squamata; Viperidae.